GAUGAACGCUGGCGGCGUGCUUAACACAUGCAAGUCGAACGAAGCACUUUAUUUGAUUUCCUUCGGGACUGAUUAUUUUGUGACUGAGUGGCGGACGGGUGAGUAACGCGUGGGUAACCUGCCUUGUACAGGGGGAUAACAGUUGGAAACGGCUGCUAAUACCGCAUAAGCGCACGGCAUCGCAUGAUGCAGUGUGAAAAACUCCGGUGGUAUAAGAUGGACCCGCGUUGGAUUAGCUAGUUGGUGAGGUAACGGCCCACCAAGGCGACGAUCCAUAGCCGACCUGAGAGGGUGACCGGCCACAUUGGGACUGAGACACGGCCCAAACUCCUACGGGAGGCAGCAGUGGGGAAUAUUGCACAAUGGGCGAAAGCCUGAUGCAGCGACGCCGCGUGAGCGAAGAAGUAUUUCGGUAUGUAAAGCUCUAUCAGCAGGGAAGAUAAUGACGGUACCUGACUAAGAAGCACCGGCUAAAUACGUGC
RNAcentral lists this ribosomal RNA (482 nucleotides) under uncultured bacterium. RNAcentral describes it as "partial 16S ribosomal RNA". It matches the Rfam family "Bacterial small subunit ribosomal RNA", at positions 28 to 508 of the family's 1533-position model. The record is from RNAcentral.